Molecule: small nuclear RNA, 107 nt
Organism: Octodon degus (degu)
Lineage: Eukaryota; Metazoa; Chordata; Mammalia; Rodentia; Octodontidae
Source: Ensembl
AUGCUCUCUUUGGCAGCACAUAUAUUAAAAUAGGCACGAUACAGAGAAAAUUAGCAUGGCCCCUGCACAAAGAUUACACUCAAAUUGGUGAAACGUUCCUUAUUUUU